Molecule: ribosomal RNA, 207 nt
Filed under: uncultured bacterium
Lineage: Bacteria
Description: partial 16S ribosomal RNA
Rfam family: Bacterial small subunit ribosomal RNA
Source: RNAcentral
UGCGUAGGCGGUGAUAUAAGUCGGAUGUGAAAUUUCGGAGCUUAACUUCGGAGCUGCAUUCGAAACUGUGUCACUUGAGGAAUGGCGGAGAAAAUGGAAUUCCAUAUGUAGCGGUGAAAUGCGUAGAUAUAUGGAAGAAUACCUGUGGCGAAAGCGAUUUUCUAGCCUUCUCCUGACGCUGAGGCACGAAAGCAAGGGGAGCAAACA